This 507-nucleotide unclassified non-coding RNA is filed under the name Zea mays. RNAcentral's name for it is "misc RNA Zm00001eb090470". The record is from RNAcentral. Lineage: Eukaryota; Viridiplantae; Streptophyta; Magnoliopsida; Poales; Poaceae.
UUGCCGAGGAGCACGGGGAGCUCGCCGACGGCAAAGAAGAGGCAGCCCGCGGCGGUGGCCGGAGCGGUCGGUGAAGAGGACGUCGGGGUCGGCGGCCGCCGCGUCGGCCACCCAUCCGGGGAGCGCGUCGCCGUCGGUGCGGAGCGAGACGCGGAGGUCGAGCUAAGCGACGGCCCAGGACACCAGCAGCUCCACGCCGUCGACGUCGAGCAGCUUGAGCGCGCGCAGCGCCGCCGAGACGGCCCUGCGCCGGCCCACGCCUCGGCCGUCGGAGACCACCGCGUCCGCGGGGAGGCCCACGAACAGCCUCACCUCGACGUCCUCGCCCUCCGCCGCCCGCUCGCCGGAGGCGGCCUCCUCGGAGACGAGCGCCCGCACGGGGCCCAGAUGCCUGCUGCUGCUAGCCCGGACAGCCCCGCUGACCGCACGCCGCGCUGCUCCGAGGCGGACGGCGCCUGCUCGCUGCUGGCCCUGGUCGUUGCAACUGCCGCGAAGCGGAGCCGGUGA